GUCUAGGGUAGCCUAGUGGACAUGGCAUCUGCUCGUUAAGCGGAAAACACUGUGGGUUCGAUUCCCAUCCCUGGACA
This 77-nucleotide transfer RNA is filed under the name Cordylochernes scorpioides. RNAcentral describes it as "tRNA-Asn". It matches the Rfam family "tRNA". Rfam says of the family: Transfer RNA (tRNA) molecules are approximately 80 nucleotides in length. Their secondary structure includes four short double-helical elements and three loops (D, anti-codon, and T loops). Further hydrogen bonds mediate the characteristic L-shaped molecular structure. tRNAs have two regions of fundamental functional importance: the anti-codon, which is responsible for specific mRNA codon recognition, and the 3' end, to which the tRNAs corresponding amino acid is attached (by aminoacyl-tRNA synthetases). tRNAs cope with the degeneracy of the genetic code in two manners: having more than one tRNA (with a specific anti-codon) for a particular amino acid; and 'wobble' base-pairing, i.e. permitting non-standard base-pairing at the 3rd anti-codon position. The record is from RNAcentral. Lineage: Eukaryota; Metazoa; Arthropoda; Arachnida; Pseudoscorpiones; Chernetidae.